This 437-nucleotide unclassified non-coding RNA is filed under the name Hevea brasiliensis (rubber tree). Lineage: Eukaryota; Viridiplantae; Streptophyta; Magnoliopsida; Malpighiales; Euphorbiaceae. The record is from RNAcentral.
AAACUAUUUGGCAUUCUGCAGCACAUGAUUGUACAGAAUUAAAAACAUUACAUUGAUGCAGGCAGAGAUAUCUAAAUUCACAAUGAUCGCCCUCAACAACAAGUGUUGAUGCAGGCGAAGAUACGCCAGACUCUACUAGUUCAAAAUCUUGUCUAGAUAAACAAUACUAAAAAGAAAAAGAAAAACUCCGGAGGAGGAAAAAAAAAUAGCAAAUAAAGUUAUCGGAUAAAAAAAAUAGAAACGGAUACUCGCAUUGAGUUUGUUAAAUAUUAUUGGUCAAACGGACCACACAAGCUUAAAGUACUCGAAUAUUUUUCUUCCUCAGGUCCCAAAUUGCUCAAAAUUUUCCUGCAUUUUCUCACUACCCAAACAAACCGUACAUUUGCACAAACAAAAUCUUCAAACAUCAAAAAACAAAAAUAGAUAAAUGAAAUCCA